This 786-nucleotide ribosomal RNA is filed under the name uncultured bacterium. RNAcentral's name for it is "bacterial SSU rRNA". It matches the Rfam family "Bacterial small subunit ribosomal RNA", at positions 62 to 883 of the family's 1533-position model. The record is from RNAcentral.
UUGAACGGGAUUUGUAUGGUGCUUGCACCAUGUAAUGAGAGUAGCGCACUGCUGUGUAACACGUGGGAACAUACCUUGAAGUGGGGGACAACAGUUGGAAACGACUGCUAAUACCGCAUAAUCCCUGAGGGGGAAAGAUUUAUCGCUUUAAGAUUGGCCCGCGGAAGAUUAGGUAGUUGGUGGGGUAAAGGCCUACCAAGCCGACGAUCUAUAGCUGGUCUGAGAGGACGAACAGCCACAUUGGAACUGAGACACGGUCCAGACUCCUACGGGAGGCAGCAGUGAGGAAUAUUGGGCAAUGGAGGAAACUCUGUCCCAGCCAUGCCGCGUGAGUGAAGGAGGUUUUCGAAUUGUAAAGCUCUUUCGGAUGGGACGAUGAUGACGGUACCAUCUAAAGAAGCCCCGGCAAACUUCGUGCCAGCAGCCGCGGUAAUACGAAGGGGGCAAGCGUUGUUCGGAAUUACUGGGCGUAAAGGGUGUGUAGGCGGAUUUGUAAGAUAGUGGUGAAAUACCUGAGCUCAACUUAGGAAUUGCCAUUAUAACUAUAGAUCUGGAGUGACAGAGAGGAUAUUGGAAUACCCAGUGUAGAGGUGAAAUUCGUAGAUAUUGGGUAGAACACCAGUGGCGAAGGCGAGUAUCUGGCUGUCAACUGACGCUGAGGCACGAAAGCAUGGGGAUCAAACAGGAUUAGAUACCCUGGUAGUCCAUGCUGUAAACGAUGAAUGCUAGUUGUCGGCAAAAGCCGGUGACGCAGUUAACGCGAUAAGCAUUUCGCCUGGGGAGUAC